AUUGAACGCUGGCGGCAGGCCUAACACAUGCAAGUCGAGCGGAUGAAGGGAGCUUGCUCCUGGAUUCAGCGGCGGACGGGUGAGUAAUGCCUAGGAAUCUGCCUGGUAGCGGGGGAUAACGUCCGGACACGGGCGCUAAUACCGCAUACGUCCUGAGGGAGAAAGUGGGGGAUCUUCGGACCUCACGCUAUCAGAUGAGCCUAGGUCGGAUUAGCUAGUUGGUGGGGUAAAGGCCUACCAAGGCGACGAUCCGUAACUGGUCUGAGAGGAUGAUCAGUCACACUGGAACUGAGACACGGUCCAGACUCCUACGGGAGGCAGCAGUGGGGAAUAUUGGACAAUGGGCGAAAGCCUGAUCCAGCCAUGCCGCGUGUGUGAAGAAGGUCUUCGGAUUGUAAAGCACUUUAAGUUGGGAGGAAGGGCAGUAAGUUAAUACCUUGCUGUUUUGACGUUACCAAAAGAAUAAGCACCGGCUAACUUCGUG
Molecule: ribosomal RNA, 484 nt
Filed under: uncultured bacterium
Lineage: Bacteria
Description: partial 16S ribosomal RNA
Rfam family: Bacterial small subunit ribosomal RNA
Source: RNAcentral